This 424-nucleotide ribosomal RNA is filed under the name uncultured bacterium. RNAcentral describes it as "bacterial SSU rRNA". It matches the Rfam family "Bacterial small subunit ribosomal RNA", at positions 355 to 776 of the family's 1533-position model. The record is from RNAcentral.
UGAGGAAUAUUGGUCAAUGGGCGCAAGCCUGAACCAGCCAUCCCGCGUGAAGGAAGAAGGCCCUACGGGUUGUAAACUUCUUUUCUGUUUGAAGAAUAAGCUCGUCGAGACGAGUGAUGCCGGUAGGACAGGAAUAAGCAUCGGCUAACUCCGUGCCAGCAGCCGCGGUAAUACGGAGGAUGCAAGCGUUAUCCGGAUUUAUUGGGUUUAAAGGGUGCGCAGGUGGUUUAAUAAGUCAGUGGUGAAAGUCUGGCGCUUAACGUUAGGAUUGCCAUUGAUACUGUUAGACUUGAAUAUGGAUGAGGUAGGCGGAAUGUGUAGUGUAGCGGUGAAAUGCUUAGAUAUUACACAGAACACCGAUUGCGAAGGCAGCUUACUAAUCCAUCAUUGACGCUGAGGCACGAAAGCGUGGGGAUCAAACAGG